CCGAUGCAACGCAGCCACAGCCUGCUCUCCACAGGCCUCUCUGACCCUUUGGGAGGCUCAGCAUCUCAGACAGCUUCUGUUCAUUGAGUCAGGCCCUGUGGGAAGAGCUGGGAUAUGAAGUACAUAAGUCCCUGACUCUCUUUAAAUAGAAAACACACGAUAAAAACAAUGGGUAACUUGGAACACCUUCACUGCAUUAAACAGCCAUUUUCACACACCAUCUCCAUCCAGCCCCACAAGUCAUCGAAACUUCUCUCCAAUCUGACUUUGAAGUUGGGAUAGUGGCCAGUUGUAGUAGUCCCCUCAUCCACAGUUUCUCUUUCCACGGAUUCAAUUAUCCCCCAUCAACCAUGGUCAAGAAGUCAAUGAUUCUCCUUCUGGAGGUACCAUCAGAAGGUCAAGAGUAGCCUAAUGCUACAUCACAGUGCCUACAUCAUUCAUGUUACU
This 447-nucleotide long non-coding RNA is filed under the name Vulpes vulpes (red fox). Its description in RNAcentral is "lncRNA (ENSVVUG00000026531.1)". The record is from RNAcentral. Lineage: Eukaryota; Metazoa; Chordata; Mammalia; Carnivora; Canidae.